GAUGAACGCUAGCGGGAGGCCUAACACAUGCAAGUCGAACGGGAAGGGUAGCAAUACCCCGAGAGUGGCGCACGGGUGAGUAACGCGUAUGCAACCUGCCUUUAACUGAGGGAUAGCCCAUAGAAAUGUGGAUUAAUACCUCAUAGUUCUUAACCCCUGCAUGGGGGAUAAGAUAAAGCUCCGGCGGUUAAAGAUGGGCAUGCGUGACAUUAGCUAGUUGGUGAGGUAACGGCUCACCAAGGCAGCGAUGUCUAGGGGUUCUGAGAGGAUGAUCCCCCACACUGGUACUGAGACACGGACCAGACUCCUACGGGAGGCAGCAGUGAGGAAUAUUGGUCAAUGGGCGCAAGCCUGAACCAGCCAUCCCGCGUGCAGGAUGACGGCCCUACGGGUUGUAAACUGCUUUUGUACACCAAGAAAAACCCCCACGUGUGGGGAUCUGACGGUAGUGUAUGAAUAAGCAUCGGCUAACUCCGUGCCAGCAGCCGCGGUAAUACGGAGGAUGCGAGCGUUAUCCGGAUUCAUUGGGUUUAAAGGGUGCGUAGGCGGCUUUUUAAGUCAGUGGUGAAAUCCUGCCGCUUAACGGUAGAAUUGCCAUUGAUACUGAAGAGCUUGAGUCCAGUUGAGGUAAGCGGAAUGUGUAGUGUAGCGGUGAAAUGCUUAGAUAUUACACAGAACACCAAUUGCGAAGGCAGCUUACUAAACUGUAACUGACGCUGAUGCACGAAAGCGUGGGGAGCGAACAGGA
This 748-nucleotide ribosomal RNA is filed under the name uncultured Prolixibacter sp. Its description in RNAcentral is "bacterial SSU rRNA". It matches the Rfam family "Bacterial small subunit ribosomal RNA", at positions 28 to 777 of the family's 1533-position model. The record is from RNAcentral. Lineage: Bacteria; Pseudomonadati; Bacteroidota; Bacteroidia; Marinilabiliales; Prolixibacteraceae.